UACGUAGGGUGCGAGCGUUGUCCGGAAUUACUGGGCGUAAAGAGCUCGUAGGUGGUUUGUCGCGUUGUUCGUGAAAACUCACAGCUCAACUGUGGGCGUGCGGGCGAUACGGGCAGACUGGAGUACUGCAGGGGAGACUGGAAUUCCUGGUGUAGCGGUGGAAUGCGCAGAUAUCAGGAGGAACACCGGUGGCGAAGGCGGGUCUCUGGGCCGUUACUGACACUGAGGCGCGAAAGCGUGGGGAGCGAACAGG
Molecule: ribosomal RNA, 253 nt
Filed under: uncultured bacterium
Lineage: Bacteria
Description: partial 16S ribosomal RNA
Rfam family: Bacterial small subunit ribosomal RNA
Source: RNAcentral